This 574-nucleotide ribosomal RNA is filed under the name uncultured rumen bacterium. Its description in RNAcentral is "bacterial SSU rRNA". It matches the Rfam family "Bacterial small subunit ribosomal RNA", at positions 347 to 916 of the family's 1533-position model. The record is from RNAcentral.
GGCAGCAGCUAAGAAUAUUCCGCAAUGGACGAAAGUCUGACGGAGCGACGCCGCGUGGAUGAUGAAGGCCGGAAGGUUGUAAAAUCCUUUUAUGACUGAGGAAUAAGUGAAGUGAGAGAAACGUUUCAUGGUGACUGUAGGCCAUGAAUAAGCAACGGCUAAUUACGUGCCAGCAGCCGCGGUAACACGUAAGUUGCGAGCGUUGUUCGGAAUUAUUGGGCGUAAAGGGUAUGUAGGCGGUUCUGCAAGUCUGGUGUGAAAUACCGGGGCUCAACCCCGGAACUGCGUUGGAAACUGCAGGACUUGAAUCGCUGAGGGGCAGCCAGAAUUCCAGGUGUAGGGGUGAAAUCUGUAGAUAUCUGGAAGAAUACCAAUGGCGAAGGCAGGCUGCCAGCAGAUGAUUGACGCUGAGGUACGAAGGUGCGGGGAGCAAACAGGAUUAGAUACCCUGGUAGUCCGCACAGUCAACUAUGUACACUGGGUGUCCGGUCAUGAGACUGGGUGCCGAAGCAAACGCGAUAAGUGUACCGCCUGGGGAGUAUGCCCGCAAGGGUGAAACUCAAGGAAUUGACGG